AACGAACGCUGGCGGCAUGCCUAACACAUGCAAGUCGAACGAGACCUUCGGGUCUAGUGGCUCACGGGUGCGUAACGCGUUGGAACCUGCCCUUAGGUUCUGAAUAACUCCCCGAAAGGGGUGCUAAUACCGGAUUAUGUUUUCGGACCAAAGAUUUAUCGCCUUUGGAUGUGCCCACGUUGGAUUAGCUAGUUGGUAGGGUAAAAGCCUACCAAGGCGACGAUCCAUAGCUGGUCUGAGAGGAUGAUCAGCCACACUGGGACUGAGACACGGCCCAGACUCCUACGGGAGGCAGCAGUGGGGAAUAUUGGACAAUGGGCGAAAGCCUGAUCCAGCAAUGCCGCGUGAGUGAUGAAGGCGUUAGGGUUGUAAAGCUCUUUUACCCGGGAUGAUAAUGACAGUACCGGGAGAAUAAGCUCCGGCUAACUACGUG
RNAcentral lists this ribosomal RNA (433 nucleotides) under uncultured bacterium. RNAcentral's name for it is "partial 16S ribosomal RNA". It matches the Rfam family "Bacterial small subunit ribosomal RNA", at positions 29 to 507 of the family's 1533-position model. The record is from RNAcentral.